Molecule: ribosomal RNA, 252 nt
Filed under: uncultured bacterium
Lineage: Bacteria
Description: partial 16S ribosomal RNA
Rfam family: Bacterial small subunit ribosomal RNA
Source: RNAcentral
UUCGUAGGUCCCGAGCGUUAUCCGGAUUUAUUGGGCGUAAAGCGAGCGCAGGCGGUUUGAUAAGUCUGAAGUUAAAGGCUGUGGCUUAACCAUUGUACGCAUUGGAAACUGUUUAACUUGAGUGCAGAAGGGGAGAGUGGAAUUCCAUGUGUAGCGGUGAAAUGCGUAGAUAUAUGGAGGAACACCGGUGGCGAAAGCGGCUCUCUGGUCUGUAACUGACGCUGAGGCUCGAAAGCUUGGGGAGCAAACAGG